GGGGUUGUUACGGAUUCGACAGGCAUAGUUUGGGCUUGGAUUGCGUUUCGUGCAAGAGCUCACGUUAAUCGGCACACCAGUUAAAUAUAACUGCAAAACAAGAAAACAACUUCGCUUUCGCUGCCUAAAAAACAGUGAAGUGAGAUCGCCUCGGUAUCGCCCAUGUGCUCGAGUAGCGGUCCUAAAUCUAGUGGGAUACGAGUUACCUUUCCGUCUGCAAGUUAACUAAGAGAUCAUCAGACUGGUCAGUUAAGACGCGUGUUUUGCCGCAGCUUAGUUGAUAAGAUCUAAUAGCAAGACUAUGAACGUAGAUGUCUUUGUUGCAAUGUGUUUG
RNAcentral lists this transfer-messenger RNA (334 nucleotides) under Streptococcaceae bacterium. Its description in RNAcentral is "partial transfer-messenger RNA". It matches the Rfam family "transfer-messenger RNA". Rfam says of the family: Bacterial tmRNA, also known as 10Sa RNA or SsrA, is named for its dual tRNA and mRNA-like properties. Its role is to liberate the mRNA from a stalled ribosome. To accomplish this part of the tmRNA is used as a reading frame that ends in a translation stop signal. The record is from RNAcentral. Lineage: Bacteria; Bacillati; Bacillota; Bacilli; Lactobacillales; Streptococcaceae.